This 308-nucleotide ribosomal RNA is filed under the name uncultured bacterium. Its description in RNAcentral is "partial 16S ribosomal RNA". It matches the Rfam family "Bacterial small subunit ribosomal RNA", at positions 505 to 807 of the family's 1533-position model. The record is from RNAcentral.
GAGACAGCAGUCGCCGCGGGAAUACAGAGGGUGCGAGCGUUAAUCGGAUUUACUGGGCGUAAAGCGUGCGUAGGCGGCUUCUUAAGUCGGAUGUGAAAUCCCUGAGCUUAACUUAGGAAUUGCAUUCGAUACUGGGAAGCUAGAGUAUGGGAGAGGAUGGUAGAAUUCCAGGUGUAGCGGUGAAAUGCGUAGAGAUCUGGAGGAAUACCGAUGGCGAAGGCAGCCAUCUGGCCUAAUACUGACGCUGAGGUACGAAAGCAUGGGGAGCAAACAGGAUUAGAUACCCGGGUAGUCCCUGUCUCUUAUAC